GGAGGUAUCAGAAGUGCGAAUGCUGACAUAAGUAACGAUAAAGCGGGUGAAAAGCCCGCUCGCCGGAAGACCAAGGGUUCCUGUCCAACGUUAAUCGGGGCAGGGUGAGUCGACCCCUAAGGCGAGGCCGAAAGGCGUAGUCGAUGGGAAACGGGUUAAUAUUCCCGUACUUGGUGUUACUGCGAAGGGGGGACGGAGAAGGCUAUGUUGGCCGGGCGACGGUUGUCCCGGUUUAAGCGUGUAGGCUGGUUUUCCAGGCAAAUCCGGAAAAUCAAGGCUGAGGCGUGACGACGAGGCACUACGGUGCUGAAGCAACAAAUGCCCUGCUUCCAGGAAAAGCCUCUAAGCAUCAGGUAACAUCAAAUCGUACCCCAAACCGACACAGGUGGUCAGGUAGAGAAUACCAAGGCGCUUGAGAGAACUCGGGUGAAGGAACUAGGCAAAAUGGUGCCGUAACUUCGGGAGAAGGCACGCUGACACGUAGGUGAAGUGAUUUACUCAUGGAGCUGAAGUCAGUCGAAGAUACCAGCUGGCUGCAACUGUUUAUUAAAAACACAGCACUGUGCAAACACGAAAGUGGACGUAUACGGUGUGACGCCUGCCCGGUGCCGGAAGGUUAAUUGAUGGGGUCAGCGCAAGCGAAGCUCCUGAUCGAAGCCCCGGUAAACGGCGGCCGUAACUAUAACGGUCCUAAGGUAGCGAAAUUCCUUGUCGGGUAAGUUCCGACCUGCACGAAUGGCGUAAUGAUGGCCAGGCUGUCUCCACCCGAGACUCAGUGAAAUUGAACUCGCUGUGAAGAUGCAGUGUACCCGCGGCAAGACGGAAAGACCCCGUGAACCUUUACUAUAGCUUGACACUGAACAUUGAGCCUUGAUGUGUAGGAUAGGUGGGAGGCUUUGAAGUGUGGACGCCAGUCUGCAUGGAGCCGACCUUGAAAUACCACCCUUUAAUGUUUGAUGUUCUAACGUGGACCCGUUACCCGGGUUGCGGACAGUGUCUGGUGGGUAGUUUGACUGGGGCGGUCUCCUCCUAAAGAGUAACGGAGGAGCACGAAGGUUGGCUAAUCCUGGUCGGACAUCAGGAGGUUAGUGCAAUGGCAUAAGCCAGCUUGACUGCGAGCGUGACGGCGCGAGCAGGUGCGAAAGCAGGUCAUAGUGAUCCGGUGGUUCUGAAUGGAAGGGCCAUCGCUCAACGGAUAAAAGGUACUCCGGGGAUAACAGGCUGAUACCGCCCAAGAGUUCAUAUCGACGGCGGUGUUUGGCACCUCGAUGUCGGCUCAUCACAUCCUGGGGCUGAAGUAGGUCCCAAGGGUAUGGCUGUUCGCCAUUUAAAGUGGUACGCGAGCUGGGUUUAGAACGUCGUGAGACAGUUCGGUCCCUAUCUGCCGUGGGCGCUGGAGAACUGAGGGGGGCUGCUCCUAGUACGAGAGGACCGGAGUGGACGCAUCACUGGUGUUCGGGUUGUCAUGCCAAUGGCACUGCCCGGUAGCUAAAUGCGGAAGAGAUAAGUGCUGAAAGCAUCUAAGCACGAAACUUGCCCCGA
This 1542-nucleotide ribosomal RNA is filed under the name Salmonella enterica subsp. enterica serovar Hadar. Its description in RNAcentral is "partial 23S ribosomal RNA". It matches the Rfam family "Bacterial large subunit ribosomal RNA", at positions 1275 to 2802 of the family's 2925-position model. Lineage: Bacteria; Pseudomonadati; Pseudomonadota; Gammaproteobacteria; Enterobacterales; Enterobacteriaceae. The record is from RNAcentral.